UGUAACACCGAUUCCCGUAUGAUCACACAAGAUAAGCAACGUCAAGCUUGGUCAGUACCUCGAUGGGUGACCGUUUAGGAAUAGCAGGUGUUGUA
Acanthosepion pharaonis is the source of this 95-nucleotide non-coding RNA. NCBI's taxonomy places the organism in Eukaryota, Metazoa, Mollusca, Cephalopoda, Sepiida, Sepiidae. The record is from the annotation of a GenBank genome assembly.